Molecule: ribosomal RNA, 253 nt
Filed under: uncultured bacterium
Lineage: Bacteria
Description: partial 16S ribosomal RNA
Rfam family: Bacterial small subunit ribosomal RNA
Source: RNAcentral
GACGUAGGGUGCGAGCGUUGUCCGGAUUUAUUGGGCGUAAAGAGCUCGUAGGCGGCUCGUCGCGUCGACCGUGAAAACCCGCGGCUUAACCGCGGGCUUGCGGUUGAUACGGGCGGGCUAGAGUUCGGUAGGGGAGACUGGAAUUCCUGGUGUAGCGGUGAAAUGCGCAGAUAUCAGGAGGAACACCGGUGGCGAAGGCGGAUCUCUGGGCCUUACCUGACGCUGAGGAGCGAAAGCAUGGGGAGCAAACAGG